UACAUUUUUAUGACAUAAAUUUGAUUAAUGAUAUAAAAGUAAUUUGUUCAAGAUAAUAUAUUCUACGAUUACGAACUGGAUCUAUAAAUGUACUGUUUUAUUUUUUAGAGCGUUAGAUGAUACAAGAGAAAGAGAGAACAAAAAAUAGAUAGGAAGAUAGAAAGAAAACGAAAAAAGAAAAAAGAUGGAGUACGGCCAAGAGGAUCCAAAUCGGAAUAAAAGGAUCUGUUAAAUGAAAGCAGAGCGAGCGAGAUUAUCGUGAGCUACUUCAAAGGCAUCUAUUGGCGUCGCAAGCAAAAAAGAAGAACAACAAUGUUUCGCUGAUAAUCGAUCUACCCAACAUUUGCACUAUCUAUGAUUGUAAAUAACAAAUAACUGCAGAGAAAUGUUAUAAAAUGAAUGAUGUAUGUAUAUGUAUGUAAGUAUAUAUAUAUGUGUGUGUGUGUACGUAUAUAUGUAUAGUAUAUGUAGCAACACGCUUGCUGAUUAUACAGAUGAUUUGCAUAAAAUCAUUCUCGUUAUAUUUGCAUUAUCAUGUUGAAAGCAUUCAACAAUAUAAACUGUAUAAGAGUCUUUCGAAUACGAAGCGUCAUGUGAGUGCAUCCAAGAAUAGCUUGAUUCACGUUUGAAAACAGAGAUAAAAUUAACUAUUCUAGACGAACAAUUGAAAACAAAGAGAUCCAUGGAUCAGUCGGAAAAAUAUGUUGGCAAAACGUUAAGUAUCAUCGAUUCGAAUGAUCGGUUAGAAGUUAUUGGUUUAGAAAGCGAAGAAGCGUGAUCUCCGAGUGCGCCAGCGAAAGAGCUUUUUUUAGCCUGAAUUUGGCUCGGUUCUUAGACACCGAAGAAGAGAGAGAAAGAGAAGAGAGGAAGAGAGAGAGAGAGAGAGAGAGAGAGAGAGAGAGAGAGAGAUAGAGAGAACAAAAAAAAAGAAAAAAAGAAAGACAAUCCUACCUGAGUGAAAGAGAAGAAGCUUAAAAGAAGCUUAAAAUGUUCACAACUACUUUAAAACGUGAUUGUCUAACCUGAGAACAAUACAGCUUUUAAAUGAAAAAUCGUAUGUAUGAUGAAAAAAGAAGCUUGAAAAAAAACGACACGACACGUGUAAGAAGAUUCUUUUCGAUGUCUUUAAACAAAAAAAAGGAAAAUUGUACGUAUAAAGAAAUGUACUUUUGUCAAGAACGACGGUCACUGAACGCGAGUACAAAGAAGGAUUAAAGAAAGACACGAGGGAUACAUGGAAGAUGAAAAAAGCAAUAGGAAAAGGAGUAUAAUAAUAGAAAUAGAUAAGAAGAGUGUUAGUUAUAGUGAUACAUUAAGCUCUCACAGAUUUGGAUUUUGGUAGGAUCUACUCACUACUGGUCACCCGA
Vespula pensylvanica (western yellowjacket) is the source of this 1367-nucleotide long non-coding RNA. RefSeq lists it as uncharacterized. Lineage: Eukaryota; Metazoa; Arthropoda; Insecta; Hymenoptera; Vespidae. The record is from RefSeq and is a predicted model, not a curated record. The transcript has 4 exons.